GAGUUUGAUCGUGGCUCAGAACGAACGCUGGCGGCAUGCCUAACACAUGCAAGUCGAACGGGAUCCAGACUUCGGUCUGGUGAGAGUGGCGGACGGGUGAGUAACGCGUGGGAACCUGCCCAAUGGUCUGGGAUAACCGCGGGAAACUGCGGCUAAUACCGGAUAAGCCCGAGAGGGGAAAGAUUUAUCGCCGAUGGAGGGGCCCGCGUCCGAUUAGGUAGUUGGUGAGGUAACGGCUCACCAAGCCGACGAUCGGUAGCUGGUCUGAGAGGAUGAUCAGCCACACUGGGACUGAGAUACGGCCCAGACUCCUACGGGAGGCAGCAGUGGGGAAUAUUGGACAAUGGGGGCAACCCUGAUCCAGCAAUGCCGCGUGAGUGAUGAAGGCCUUAGGGUUGUAAAGCUCUUUUGGCGGGACGAUGAUGACGGUACCCGCAGAAUAAGCCCCGGCUAACUUCGUGCCAGCCGCCGCGGUAAC
Molecule: ribosomal RNA, 478 nt
Filed under: uncultured Alphaproteobacteria bacterium
Lineage: Bacteria; Pseudomonadati; Pseudomonadota; Alphaproteobacteria
Description: bacterial SSU rRNA
Rfam family: Bacterial small subunit ribosomal RNA
Source: RNAcentral